This 6501-nucleotide long non-coding RNA is filed under the name Citrus sinensis (sweet orange). Its description in RNAcentral is "long non-coding RNA (CSIN_LNC003451)". Lineage: Eukaryota; Viridiplantae; Streptophyta; Magnoliopsida; Sapindales; Rutaceae. The record is from RNAcentral.
UAAUCAAGAUUUGGUAGGUCACUCAAAUUGAUUUUGGUGUCUGCUUCAUGUGGUUCGUAUUCCAAAUACAAUUUAAAUCUUUUACCAUAAACUUUAAAUAUGACAUCGUUCUUUGGAUUUUCAAUUUCUAUGGCCCUAUAUGAAAAAAUAAUGUGAACGAUAAAUGGGUCAAACCAUCAAGAAUGUAAUUUACGUGGAAAUAGCUGUAGGUGAGAGUUGAAUAAAAGCAUUUUUCAUCCUAGUGUAAAAGAUUUUCUCAUGAUAUGCUUGUCAUGAAAGAUUUUCAUCCGCUCCUUGUAAUUGUUGGCACUUUCCUCUUCCUGGUCGCUUGUGAGUUAGGAAUAAAUUACCACUAAAUAGGUUUGUUGAUCUCUAAGGUACACAUACUUUAAUUCUUCUGGUAAGGGUUUCAAUUCCAGUUUUGGUGCUUCCUCUUCCUUUGUCUCCUUAAGGUGUAUCGUGUCUUCAAAGUUCAAUUAGCCAUUAUCAUCUUCAGGUACCUGCGUAGAAUUAAGUAUUGAGCAUAUGUUAACAAUAUUAUAUUCUAAUUCCUUACUUGAUUCAAAAGAAUUAGCAAAAUAAAUUUUCAUAGAGUUCCUAAGUUUCUCAUCCUAAAUUUGUUCCUCAAUGAUUGGCUCAAUGAGUUCAAUAUCCUUAUUCUCAUUAUCUUUAUCUUCUGUAUCGCGAGAUCGUUUACACAUGUUGAACACAUUGAGUUCUAACUUCAUGUUCCCGAAAGAUAAAUUCAUUACUCAAUUCCUGUAAUUAAUCAAAGCAUUAGCAAUAAUUAAAAAUGAUCGACCUAAUAUGACAGGAAUUUGCUUACAUUCAUCAGCAAUUGGUUCUGUUUCCAAAACAAUAAAAUCCACAAUAUAUAUGAAUUUAUCGAGUUGCAUUAAUACAACUUCAAUUAUUCCUUUUGGUACCUUAAUCGACCUAUCGACAAGUAAAAGAGUGGUAGAGGUUGGUUUUAACUCACCAAGAUUGAGUUGUUGGUACACUGAAUAAGGAAGCUAAUUAACAUUAGCACCAAGAUCAAGUAGAGCGCGUCUAAUUUUAUGAUCCCUAAUAAUGCAAGAAAUAGUUGGACAACUAGGAUCCUUGUAUUUCAAAGCAUUAUUAGUUGAGAGAAUGAAACUUACCUGUUUUGCUAGAAAAGCUUUCUUUUGCACCUUAUGUUUUCUUUUCACAGUACACAGAUCGUUCAGAAAUUUAGCAUAAGAAGGUACCUGCUUAAUGACGUCCAACAAAGGAAUAUUGACCUUUACUUGUUUAAAGAUUUCAUAAUUUUAUGGAAUGUGGUUUGAUUCCUUUGGCUUGAUUAGUACUUGAGGAAAUAUGGGUAUUGGAAGAGAGUUAGUUAUUUUUUCAUGGGUUAAAGAUUCGACAGACUCUUCAUACUCUCUUAAAUUGAAUCCUUACUAAUUUCACGAGGGUCCAGAAUGUGUUUUUCAAUAACUCUACCACCACGAAGGAUUAUAACUGAUUUAACUUGGCUCAUAUUUUGGUUUCAUGUAUUACCCAUUUGAGGAUGUUGUUGAAUCUUGAGGUUUGGUUCAGGUUGAGUAGGAAACUUACCUUUUUCAUGCAUGGUGAGGGCUGAUGUAAGUUUGGAGAUAGUUUUUGUCAAAUUGGUCAAGGUUUGCAUGAUUUGAUUAUUGAUCGACUCUUGUUUUUCAUGAAUGCAAUAUAUUUUCCAAAGUUCUUCUUGGUGGUGAGACAUAUAGUGGGUAACUCUAUGAGUUUUAGAAUUCUGACAUGGAAGAGUUGGUUAUGAAGGUUGUGUAUGAUUGUCAUUUCUCCAACUAAAAUUUAAGUGAUUUCUCCAACCAGAGUUGUAAGCUUGGGAGUAUGGAUUGGUAUUUGGCUUUUUGGAAUUAUCGAUGACAUUUACUUGUUCAUGCAAACUUUCUUUUAGAGUUAGCAAGAUUGUGCAGUUCUGUGUAGAAUGGUUAGUAGAAUUGGAAUCAUUCUUUUUCUCUAAUGCUUCGACUUUUCUAGCUAAGAAUGCAAAUUUGGCUUAAAGGUCAUCCCUAAGGUUGUACAUGCCUUUACCAGAUGGAGAUGACUAGGGUUUACUCAAUGACUUAUAUAAACCAACAAUGUCCCAAUGUUAUGCAUUCUCUACUAUAUAAUCAAGAUAUUCUAAUGCAUCUUAAGGACUUUUAUCCCUAAAUUCACCAUUAGACAUCAUUUUAAUGACAUGUUCACUUUGGGAUAUUAGUCACCAUUACACUAACCUCCAUGUUUCAAAACUGUGGCGUGGGUAAAUGUUAAGUAGCUCUUUGUACCUAUCCUAACAUUGAUAAAGAGUUUCUCAUGGCUUUUGAGUGAAGGUGGUGAUUUGUCUUUUGAAAAAAUUUGUUCUGUGGGCUGAAAAGAAUUUUUUUCAAAAAAUUAUGCUUGCAUUUCAUCCCAAGUUCUGAUAGAUUUUAUAGCCAAGUUUUAUCUUUUUCCUUUAAUGAGAAAGGGAAAAAGUCUGAUUUUAUUCGUGUUACAAUUUUGAUCAGUACAAGUGUUACAAACUUCCUCAAAUUCUCUCAAAUGCAGGUAUGAAUUUUAAGAUUCAAAACCAUGAAAAGUAGGUAGACGUUAAAUGAUACUACGUUUGAAAUUAAAACGAGAUGCGUCAAGAGAAAAAACUACGCAUGAUGGUGACUCUGCUCUAGUAGGAUGCAUGAAAUCUCUAAGUGUCCUAUGUUGUUCAUGAAGAUUUUGCAAGGCUUGGUUAUCUUUGUGCUCUGAAAAGUUAUCAGCUCUGAUGUCGGCCAUGGCUAAGGGUGGUGGAAGUGAUUUUCUAAUUAAUCUGUCAUUAUCUGUACAAGACCAACAUCGCAUGCAAUGCUGAUGAUGUGUGUUAAGAUGAUGCACAAACAAAUGGAUAAUGCAUAAAAUACCAAAUGAAAAUUGCACAAUUAGAACAAAAUGAAAAUUAAAUAAGCAAAUAAUAUAAAUGUACAAAAAUUAAAAAUAAAUAAAUGCAAAAUAAAUAUAAAUUAAUUAAAAAUUAAUUAACUGAAAUUAAAAUAUUAGGCAAUUAAACCAACCAUAAAAAUAAAAUAACUAAAGGCAACAAGAAAAUAACACAUUAACAAAAUAUUAACAAUUUAGGCAGUAUUUUAAAAUUAGCCAUAUAAUAAAACAUAAAUUAAUUAUAGAAUAAAAGUUAUAUAAUUUAAUGUACAAGAAUAAAAAUAGAUAAACUGAAAUAGAUUAAUUGAAAUUUAAAUAACAAUUUAGAUAGUUGAACCAACCAUAUAAAUUAACAACAAAAAAAAAGUGCAGAAAUUAAAGGAAAGAAAGAAAAGAAACACUUAUCUUAAGAGGUUGAACUUUUCUCCUCCCCUUUUUUUAAACAACUUUUAAGAAUUACCAGCCAAUUAAAUUAAGUCUAGGCCUUAAUGAUAAUUUUAAAAGUCCAAAUUCAUGUCCAUUAUGUCCAUAAAGUCCAAAAGUCCAAGUUCAUAUAGUCUUCUAGUCCAAAAGUCCAAAGGAUAAGUCAUAAUAUAAAGAUUCAAGUUCCAAUUCAGUUUAGGGACUGAGUUGCAACAGUUUUUAGUUCAAAAUGAAAUUCUUCACAAGUUUUAUGGCAAUUCUAUGAUUAUAAGAGAGAGGAGGGAGCUAACUGAAAUUUUAUGAAAUAAAAUUAGAAAAAAAAAAAAGAGUGACGUUGAAGGAGGAUGCAAAACACAAAUAAUAAUUGACAAAAGAGAGCAAUAAAAUAAAAAUGAAAUUGACACCAAAUUUAAGAAAUUCUCCGACAACGAUGCUAAAACUUGACACGACUCAAAAGUAUUAUUACUUUCAAGUAUAAGAGUGUUUAUUUAUAGUAUAAUCUGGUAAGUCUUGAGUCGAACCACAGAGAAUUUAAAAAUCUAGUGGUCAAUUAUUAGACAAAAAUUCAUUGCAGAAAGAGAAAUUAAUAGGAACCAGUCUAAAAAUUGCUAAAGUUAUGGGAUCUACUUUCGGGUUUUAAAUUAUGGUCAUAACACUCUCUCAUAUUUGUAUUUUGUAUUUCUUUUGUCAGUUAAUUAUUAUGUCAUUUAAUUCUUAACCAAUCAUUAAUAUGGAUAAAUAUGAAAUCAAGUACUUAGUGUGCCACAACUAUAUUAGCGUGUCGAUAUUAUAUAAAAAUACCAUAUAAAUCCAAGGAGAUCUAGAUUUAUAAAUUAACAUGAUAUAAAAGAAAUCGGUAAAGAAGAAAAAUACAAACUAAUAAAAUAAACUUGAAAACUCACUUAAUAGAGUAAUUAAUUUAAUAAUUUGAAUCCUUAAACUUCACAUUUCACCUCAGCUUAGAAAGUUGACUACUCAUAUUGAAAAACAAAACACUCAUUUUAUUUAACAAACUUCCAAAAUAUAUUACAAGAGAAUGAACUGCACAAAAGAAUAAAUUUUUCUAAGCCUUAGUCACAGCUUCCUCUCUUCUCUCCCCCCUCUCUUCUCUUCGCCCCUCUCUUUCGUCUCAGUAUUCUUGAUUUUAUAGGCAACUGAUCAUGCCAUCUUCUUUUAUUUAUUAUUAUUUAUUUUAUUUUUUUAUAGUAUAUAUACAUAGAAAUGCCUGAUAGACAAGUGGCAAAAUGGCCACCUAACUAUCACGAGCUUGUUUGCUCACUUUUUUAUUUUAUUUUAUUAAUUAUAUCUCCUCAAUAAUACAUUCCAAAUGGCUCUAGGAAUUCUUCUUUGUUUUCCGCUUUCGGUCCAAUUUCUUCUUUAUUUCGAAAAUAUUUACAAUAUGAGAAUUAACAUACUGCAAAUUAAUUUAACACAAAAAUUUAUUAGAGGAGUAUUAAGAUAAUUUGGGAAUAAUGAGCUCAUUAAUUAACACUGUAAGUGAAAAAUUAAUAAUUUUAUCUUUAUUAAAUUUACACUUUUUAAUGUCAAUCAAAUGUCUCCAAAUCUCAUUAGUCUAAAAAAUUUCUAAUAAUUAGCUAAUACAUUUCUUGAUAUAUGUCAUCUGCAAGGAAAGGUAGUUGUGCUUGGAAAAUUUUUUUUGAAUAGCUUUCAUUAAAGUGAGUUCUCUGUCUUUCACAAUAAACGUUGGUAACAUAUUCUCUUCCAUUAUACUUUUUAGUCUCUUCAAUGCCCAAAUAUAGUUAUUCUCCCGCUCUGAUUCAAGAUUAGCAAAGCAAAUUAAAAAUGUCAAAUCAGUUAAUGUAACAUCAACUAUCUCUAGUAAUGACAUAUCAUGCCUAUUGAUUUUAUUUGUGCAAUCUAUAAUCAAUACUUGCGGGAAAGCUUGCAACAACUCUAUUGUAGAAGGGCAUGCUAAAAAUAAAUCUUUGAUGCAGUCUGUAUGCACAUCAUUUCUAUGCCACUCAAUAUAUUUAUGCUCAGUCAAUUUACUCAUAAAUAGUUGCAUUUAGAAACGCCCAGCUUAUUCUUUCACCUUAUAUUUUCAUCAGGCAUUGUAGAUUGCUCACAUUAUAGUGGCAUUAUGCAUAUAUUUUUUCUUUAAGACAUAUAAUAUAUCUCUUGGUUUAACAUUGUUCUUCAACAUAUCAACCAAUAAAUUGGUCUCCACUUUAUUAAGUCUACCAAUAAAUGCCUUCCAGAUAUUGUGUAGCAAAAUGGUUAUGGAACUCACAUAUCACUAUCAAUACCCAGUCAUCAUUAUUUGCUAUUUUCUAACCUUUUAGUUUAGAUGGACACUUACAUUUCUUUGUUCCAAGCCAUUUUGGCUUGUGACCUUGAGGACAUUUAUGUCUAUAAACAGCACUACUUUCACAUAUGAAAAUUAUCCUUAGUUUUCUACCAUUUGAUAUUACAUUAGAUUUUUCAAUCACAAUAACAACUCAAUUUCUCUUUCCAACAUCUCAUGUCCAUUCAAUUAGUGAUCCUCUAAUUGAAAAAAUAUGUAAACAAAAGAAAAUAUGGCUUACCUAACUAGAUAUUGUAUAUUAUGCAUGAGGAUAGAAACAAAAGAAGAAUUAAUUAAUACAUACUAUAUCAGUCUUUAAUGUAUUAGUGUUGUCCAAAACCACUAAUUCAUUUGAAACAUCACAAUUAUGAGUUAAUCUUUCAUCCUAAUAAGAAUGAAUGAUAAAUUAAAUGACAAAAAUAAGUUUAGUAUAUCAAAGACAAGAAAAUCAUGCAUACAAAAAUGCCAGUAGCAAAUUACUCAAACAGUCGACAUAUAUGCUUUGAAAAAUUUUAACUCAAUAAGCUAAAAGGUAAAUUAAUUCCUAACACAAUUGUAAACAAAACCGUAAAACAAAUCCCAUAAAACUAAGUUCUAAUUUUUUAUUUUUAAUCAACAGAGAAAACUAGAAGAUACUAAGCAUAAACUACUUUCCAUCACCAUGUGAACGAACCACUUUUAAAUAAAAAAUUGUUUUUAGAAAACAAAAAUUAAAACUUACUAACUCGUUUUCAAAUUCUUCCCAUGACAUAUCUUCUACCUCAAUCAAUGGAAUAUUAAGUACUUUUUCUUUUCCAGAUUCUUCCCUUUGCAUUUCUUUUUCCUUCGUCACUGCAAUAUUGACUUUUUUUUUUAAUAGU